Molecule: ribosomal RNA, 253 nt
Filed under: uncultured bacterium
Lineage: Bacteria
Description: partial 16S ribosomal RNA
Rfam family: Bacterial small subunit ribosomal RNA
Source: RNAcentral
UACAGAGGGUGCGAGCGUUAAUCGGAAUUACUGGGCGUAAAGCGCACGUAGGCGGCUUGGUAUGUCGGGUGUGAAAUCCCCGGGCUCAACCUGGGAACUGCAUCCGAAACUGCCUUGCUCGAGUAUGGGAGAGGGAAGUGGAAUUUCCGGUGUAGCGGUGAAAUGCGUAGAUAUCAGGAGGAACACCGGUGGCGAAGGCGGUUCUCUGGGCAUGACCUGACGCUGAGGAGCGAAAGUGUGGGGAGCGAACAGA